AUCGAUGAGCCUGGUUCUGAUACCAGUUUGUCACGACAAACGCACAAACGGAAACGAAAUGACGAACACAAAAUUAUCAAACCACAAGCAAAAAUGAAAGAAUACACAGAUUUACGUGGAAAAUCCUUUGCAGGAAAAAAACCACGGGCGAGGGAGGAGAGAACUUCACUAUCGAAAACGAAAGGGAAUACAAUGUUCUUCAGAUUACAACCAACCACGAUCACACGUCUCUAGGGCAAAAACGAAGAGAAAAAAAUUCAUAACGGGUUUCGCAUUCGAUCCGUACCGUGGGGGACCCGAGCCCUCCGCUACCCACCACAGACAUUCAUUUUCCCUUCACAAUUUAAUUUCCCAAUUUGGUCGCAUCGCGAAGCUGUCGGUGAGUCGUAAACCCGAACCUGAGUCGAUAAUAGAUUUCGAGUCAUAUCUAACACAAUGAGAAGUCUAUUUUUCUCAAGAGCCCUUCAA
Molecule: long non-coding RNA, 468 nt
Filed under: Ananas comosus (pineapple)
Lineage: Eukaryota; Viridiplantae; Streptophyta; Magnoliopsida; Poales; Bromeliaceae
Description: long non-coding RNA (ACOM_LNC038385)
Source: RNAcentral